GAGUUUGAUCGUGGCUCAGGACGAACGCUGGCGGCGUGCUUAACACAUGCAAGUCGAGCGGAAAGGCCCUUCGGGGUACUCGAGCGGCGAACGGGUGAGUAACACGUGAGUGACCUGCCCCGGGCUUUGGGAUAACCCUCGGAAACGGGGGCUAAUACCGGAUAGGACUCCUGACUGCAUGGUUGGGGGUGGAAAGUUUUUCGGCUUGGGAUGGGCUCGCGGCCUAUCAGCUUGUUGGUGGGGUGAUGGCCUACCAAGGCGACGACGGGUAGCCGGCCUGAGAGGGCGACCGGCCACACUGGGACUGAGACACGGCCCAGACUCCUACGGGAGGCAGCAGUGGGGAAUAUUGCACAAUGGGCGGAAGCCUGAUGCAGCGACGCCGCGUGAGGGAUGACGGCCUUCGGGUCGUAAACUGCUUUUAUUGAGUGAAGAAUAUGACGGUAACUCAUGAAUAAGCACCGGCUAACUAACGUGCCAGCAGCCGCCG
This 490-nucleotide ribosomal RNA is filed under the name uncultured Actinomycetes bacterium. RNAcentral's name for it is "bacterial SSU rRNA". It matches the Rfam family "Bacterial small subunit ribosomal RNA", at positions 9 to 520 of the family's 1533-position model. Lineage: Bacteria; Bacillati; Actinomycetota; Actinomycetes. The record is from RNAcentral.